Molecule: long non-coding RNA, 311 nt
Organism: Saccostrea cuccullata (small rock oyster)
Lineage: Eukaryota; Metazoa; Mollusca; Bivalvia; Ostreida; Ostreidae
Exons: 3
Source: RefSeq, a predicted model, not a curated record
GCCGUUGGAAGAGAAACCGAAAGUACGCCAUUUUCGUAGAAUCGUAAAUAUAUAUUUCAGAAAACAUGAAACAUAUUGUCUUCAAAUGACAACUGCAGUUGUUCAUAGACCAAGUGAUGAAAUAAUUGAUGUAAAAACAAUGCCGAUGGACGUAAACAGUUAUGGUUGUACAAGGCAAACAUUUGUUUGAAUAUUCCUUACUGAGUUCCUGUUUUCAUCACCAGUCAAUGUAUUAAAGUAAACAGAAUGGGCCAAACUACAACAAAAGAAGAGGCAGCAAGACCAGUAGAUCCAACAAAAAGAAUUGGUAC